Non-coding RNA from Triticum urartu, 125 nucleotides. The record is from Rfam. Lineage: Eukaryota; Viridiplantae; Streptophyta; Magnoliopsida; Poales; Poaceae.
UGUAUACUCUCUCUGUUCGCAAAUACUUGUCGGAGAAAUGAAUAAAAGUGAAUGCGUCUAUAAGUAAAAUACGUCUAGCUACAUCCAUUUCUCCGACAAGUAUUUCCGGACGGAGGGAGUACUUA